This 73-nucleotide transfer RNA is filed under the name Paraburkholderia sp. BL8N3. RNAcentral's name for it is "tRNA-Lys". It matches the Rfam family "tRNA". Rfam says of the family: Transfer RNA (tRNA) molecules are approximately 80 nucleotides in length. Their secondary structure includes four short double-helical elements and three loops (D, anti-codon, and T loops). Lineage: Bacteria; Pseudomonadati; Pseudomonadota; Betaproteobacteria; Burkholderiales; Burkholderiaceae. The record is from RNAcentral.
GGGCCGUUAGCUCAGCUGGCAGAGCAGCGGACUUUUAAUCCGUUGGUCACUGGUUCGAAUCCAGUACGGCCUA